RNAcentral lists this ribosomal RNA (464 nucleotides) under uncultured bacterium. RNAcentral describes it as "partial 16S ribosomal RNA". It matches the Rfam family "Bacterial small subunit ribosomal RNA", at positions 28 to 507 of the family's 1533-position model. The record is from RNAcentral.
GACGAACGCUGGCGGCGUGCUUAACACAUGCAAGUCGAACGGAAAGGCCCUGCUUGCGGGGUGUUCUCGUGGCGCACGGGUGUGUAACACGUGGGUGUACUGCGCUGUACAUUGUGGUAUGCCUUGGAAACUGUGGCUAUUAUAGCGUAUGAGAGCUCCUGCUGGUGGUGGGGGGAAGGAUUGUUCGGUCGGGGAUGAGCUCGCGGCCUAUCAGCUUGUUGGUGGGGUAAUGGCCUACCAAGGCGGCGACGGGUAGCCGGCCUGAGAGGGUGGACGGCCACAUUGGGACUGAGAUACGGCCCAGACUCCUACGGGAGGCAGCAGUGGGGAAUAUUGCACAAUGGGCGCAAGCCUGAUGCAGCGACGCCGCGUGGGGGAUGACGGCCUUCGGGUUGUAAACUGCUUUCGCUAGUGACGAAGCUUGUGUGACGGUACCUAGAUAAGAAGCACCGGCUAACUACGUG